RNAcentral lists this transfer RNA (71 nucleotides) under Sarcocheilichthys nigripinnis (rainbow gudgeon). RNAcentral's name for it is "tRNA-Tyr". It matches the Rfam family "tRNA". From Rfam's summary of the family: Transfer RNA (tRNA) molecules are approximately 80 nucleotides in length. Lineage: Eukaryota; Metazoa; Chordata; Actinopteri; Cypriniformes; Gobionidae. The record is from RNAcentral. RNAcentral also lists the same sequence under 2 other names.
GGUGGGGUAGCCGAGUGUUUAGGCGGCGGGUUGUAGCCCUGAAGACAGAGGUUUAAGUCCUCUCCCCACCA